Molecule: long non-coding RNA, 666 nt
Organism: Magallana angulata
Lineage: Eukaryota; Metazoa; Mollusca; Bivalvia; Ostreida; Ostreidae
Exons: 3
Source: RefSeq, a predicted model, not a curated record
CCUUUUUUAGAAUGCAGAGAUUGAUGCGAGCUUAUUUUCUACAGCGCUUCAGCAACGGAGAAGCAACAGAUCUGGCGAAGAGAGAAAAAAAUCUAUAUUAAUUUUGGUCGUGAAAUGGUAAACUUAGGAAACAUCAGCAGAUUUCUGCAAUUUGGAGAUUAUCAAAGCUAACCCAAUCUCUAAUCUGAAUUAGCAACAUGUAGGCCUAUCUAAAGCAGCAACGUAGCACAAUGACGACUCUGGAUGUGUUACUUUUUCUUCUGAGCGCCCAGGUCAUCCAGGGACAAACACUGACGAUAUAUACAGGAUCACAAUGUAAAUCGUCAAACGAAGAAUGCGCGGGAAAUGACGAGUGCUGCAGCCGUAACUGUGUGCUCAAGAACCCGGGCACGAACAAACGCUGUAGUCAGAGCGCUCUAGGUCAAAGGUGCCUUUUCGGGCACGACUGUGAGGACGAUCUGAAAUGUGGGAAGAUGGGGCAGUGCUGUGCUUUAUAUUGGCAAACGUGUUCGAAGACACAGCACUGCUGCGACCCGAACCAUAGGUGUGUUCGCGUCGAGGGCCCCACCUACCGGAAGUGUUUGUAUCCGCGCUCCAAUACCGUAAAUCUGACCGGACUCAGGUCUUGGAGUGUGUGGAAUGUAUUGUUAUAUUUAAUUCUUCUUA